RNAcentral lists this ribosomal RNA (301 nucleotides) under uncultured bacterium. RNAcentral's name for it is "partial 16S ribosomal RNA". It matches the Rfam family "Bacterial small subunit ribosomal RNA", at positions 509 to 807 of the family's 1533-position model. The record is from RNAcentral.
CAGCAGCCACGGUAAUACGGAGGGUGCAAGCGUUAAUCGGAAUUACUGGGCGUAAAGCGCACGCAGGCGGUCUGUCAAGUCAGAUGUGAAAUCCCCGGGCUUAACCUGGGAACUGCAUUUGAAACUGGCAGGCUAGAGUCUUGUAGAGGGGGGUAGAAUUCCAGGUGUAGCGGUGAAAUGCGUAGAGAUCUGGAGGAAUACCGGUGGCGAAGGCGGCCCCCUGGACAAAGACUGACGCUCAGGUGCGAAAGCGUGGGGAGCAAACAGGAUUAGAUACCCCGGUAGUCCUUGUCUCUUAUAC